Molecule: ribosomal RNA, 508 nt
Filed under: uncultured bacterium
Lineage: Bacteria
Description: bacterial SSU rRNA
Rfam family: Bacterial small subunit ribosomal RNA
Source: RNAcentral
AGCGAACGCUGGCGGCGUGCUUAACACAUGCAAGUCGAGUGCGCAGUUUCCUGUAGCAAUACAGGAAAUGGGCGCACGGCGCACGGGUGCGUAACACGUGGGCAAUCUACCCUUUGAUGGGGAAUGACCCGCCGAAAGGCGGGCUAAUACCGCAUAACAUCCCAGUCGCUUCGGUGAUAGGGAUCAAAGCCCGCAAGGGCGUCAUUGGAGGAACCCGCGGCCGAUUAGCUAGUUGGUGAGGUAAUGGCUCACCAAGGCUUGGAUCGGUAGCCGGUCUGAGAGGACGAUCGGCCACACUGGAACUGAGACACGGUCCAGACUCCUACGGGAGGCAGCAGUGGGGAAUCUUGCGCAAUGGGCGAAAGCCUGACGCAGCGACGCCGCGUGGGGGAUGAAGCUUCUCGGAGUGUAAACCCCUUUCGACCCGGACGAAUGACCCGCAAGGGUUUGACGGUACGGGGAGAAGAAGCCCCGGCUAACUACGUGCCAGCAGCCGCGGUAAGACGUA